RNAcentral lists this ribosomal RNA (460 nucleotides) under uncultured bacterium. RNAcentral describes it as "partial 16S ribosomal RNA". It matches the Rfam family "Bacterial small subunit ribosomal RNA", at positions 338 to 795 of the family's 1533-position model. The record is from RNAcentral.
CCUACGGGAGGCAGCAGUGAGGAAUAUUGGUCAAUGGGCGUAAGCCUGAACCAGCCAAGUCGCGUGAGGGAUGAAGGUUCUAUGGAUCGUAAACCUCUUUUAUAAGGGAGUAAAGUGUGGGACGUGUCCUGUUUUGUAUGUACCUUAUGAAUAAGGAUCGGCUAACUCCGUGCCAGCAGCCGCGGUAAUACGGAGGAUCGGAGCGUUAUCCGGAUUUAUUGGGUUUAAAGGGUGCGUAGGCGGCCUUAUAAGUCAGCGGUGAAAGUCUGUGGCUCAACCCUAGAAUUGCCGUUGAAACUGGGAGGCUUGAGUAUGUUUGAGGCAGGCGGAAUGCGUGGUGUAGCGGUGAAAUGCUUAGAUAUCACGCAGAACCCCGAUUGCGAAGGCAGCCUGCCAAGCCACGACUGACGCUGAUGCACGAAAGCGUGGGGAUCAAACAGGAUUAGAUACCCGUGUAGUC